Molecule: ribosomal RNA, 253 nt
Filed under: uncultured bacterium
Lineage: Bacteria
Description: partial 16S ribosomal RNA
Rfam family: Bacterial small subunit ribosomal RNA
Source: RNAcentral
UACAGAGGUCCCAAGCGUUGUUCGGAUUCAUUGGGCGUAAAGAGUGCGUAGGCGGCGCGGUAAGUCGGGUGUGAAAUCUCGGGGCUUAACUCCGAAACUGCAUUCGAUACUGCCGUGCUUGAGGACUGGAGAGGAGACUGGAAUUUACGGUGUAGCGGUGAAAUGCGUAGAUAUCGUAAGGAAGACCAGUGGCGAAGGCGGGUCUCUGGACAGUUCCUGACGCUGAGGCACGAAGGUCAGGGGAGCAAACGGG